This 253-nucleotide ribosomal RNA is filed under the name uncultured bacterium. RNAcentral's name for it is "partial 16S ribosomal RNA". It matches the Rfam family "Bacterial small subunit ribosomal RNA", at positions 524 to 776 of the family's 1533-position model. The record is from RNAcentral.
UACGGAGGGGGCGAGCGUUAUUCGGAAUUAUUGGGCGUAAAGGGCGCGUAGGCGGCCUUGCAAGUCAAAGGUGAAAUCCCUCGGCUCAACUGAGGAACUGCCUUUGAAACUGCAAGGCUUGAGGCCGGGAGGGGGUAGCGGAAUUCCCAAUGUAGCGGUGAAAUGCGUAGAUAUUGGGAGGAACACCAGUGGCGAAGGCGGCUACCUGGACCGGUUCUGACGCUGAGGCGCGAAAGCGUGGGUAGCAAACAGG